UGGGUAGGGGAGCGUUGUGUAAGCGGAAGAAGGUGGACUGGGAGGUUUGCUGGACGUAUCACAAGUGCGAAUGCUGACAUAAGUAACGAUAAAGCGGGUGAAAGGCCCGCUCGCCGGAAGACCAAGGUUUCCUGUCCAACGUUAAUCGGGGCAGGGUGAGUCGGCCCCUAAGGCGAGGCUGAAGAGCGUAGUCGAUGGGAAAUGGGUUAAUAUUCCCAUACUUGUUAUGUAAGUGAUGUAGGGACGGAGAAGGCUAGGCAAGCAGACGGACGGAAGUGUCUGUUCAAGCGUGAAGGUAGGAUACUUAGGCAAAUCCGGGUAUCUAAUACUGAGGCGUGAAGAGGAGCGACUAAGGUUGCGAAGUUGUUGAUGCCCCGCUUCCAGGAAAAGCUACUAAGCGAAUUACAUAAUAAACCGUACUGAAAACCGACACAGGUGGUCAGGUAGAGAAUACUAAGGCGCUUGAGAGAACUCGGGUGAAGGAACUAGGCAAAAUAGCACCGUAACUUCGGGAGAAGGUGCGCUGGCGUAGUGUGAAGUCUGUACGGAUGGAGCAUGAACCAGUCGAAGUGACCCGCUGGCUGCAACUGUUUAAUAAAAACACAGCACUCUGCAAACACGUAAGUGGACGUAUAGGGUGUGACGCCUGCCCGGUGCUGGAAGGUUAAUUGAUGGUGUUAUCGAAAGAGAAGCACUUGAUCGAAGCCCCAGUAAACGGCGGCCGUAACUAUAACGGUCCUAAGGUAGCGAAAUUCCUUGUCGGGUAAGUUCCGACCUGCACGAAUGGCGUAAUGAUGGCCAGGCUGUCUCCACCCGAGACUCAGUGAAAUUGAAAUCGCCGUGAAGAUGCGGUGUACCCGCGGCUAGACGGAAAGACCCCGUGAACCUUUACUAUAGCUUGACACUGAACCUUGAAUUUUAAUGUGUAGGAUAGGUGGGAGACUGAGAGCCAUUAACGCCAGUUAGUGAGGAGUCGAUGUUGAAAUACCACCCUUUAACGUUUGAUGUUCUAACGAGGUACCUGGAACGGGUAUUCGGACAGUGUCUGGUGGGUAGUUUGACUGGGGCGGUCUCCUCCCAAAGAGUAACGGAGGAGCACGAAGGUUUGCUAAUCACGGUCGGACAUCGUGAGGUUAGUGCAAUGGUAGAAGCAAGCUUAACUGCGAGACGGACAAGUCGAGCAGGUACGAAAGUAGGUCAUAGUGAUCCGGUGGUUCUGAAUGGAAGGGCCAUCGCUCAACGGAUAAAAGGUACUCCGGGGAUAACAGGCUGAUACCGCCCAAGAGUUCAUAUCGACGGCGGUGUUUGGCACCUCGAUGUCGGCUCAUCACAUCCUGGGGCUGAAGUAGGUCCCAAGGGUAUGGCUGUUCGCCAUUUAAAGUGGUACGCGAGCUGGGUUUAGAACGUCGUGAGACAGUUCGGUCCCUAUCUGCCGUGGGCGUUGGAGGAUUGAGGGGGGCUGCUCCUAGUACGAGAGGACCGGAGUGGACGCACCGCUGGUGUUCCAGUUGUUUCGCCAGAAGCAUUGCUGGGUAGCUAAGUGCGGAAGAGAUAAGUGCUGAAAGCAUCUAAGCACGAAACUUGCCCCGAGAUGAGUUCUCCCUAACGAGAAGUUAGUAAGGGUUGUUUAAGACGAAGACGUAGAUAGGUGGGGUGUGUAAGCGGUGUGAGCCGUUGAGCUAACCCAUACUAAUUGCCCGAGGGGCUUAACUAUACAACGCUGAAGGGUUUU
RNAcentral lists this ribosomal RNA (1732 nucleotides) under Gallibacterium genomosp. 3. Its description in RNAcentral is "bacterial LSU rRNA". It matches the Rfam family "Bacterial large subunit ribosomal RNA", at positions 1225 to 2925 of the family's 2925-position model. Lineage: Bacteria; Pseudomonadati; Pseudomonadota; Gammaproteobacteria; Pasteurellales; Pasteurellaceae. The record is from RNAcentral.